This 240-nucleotide ribosomal RNA is filed under the name uncultured bacterium. Its description in RNAcentral is "partial 16S ribosomal RNA". It matches the Rfam family "Bacterial small subunit ribosomal RNA", at positions 94 to 334 of the family's 1533-position model. The record is from RNAcentral.
AGCGGCGGACGGGUGAGUAACGCGUGGGUAACCUGCCUCAUACAGGGGGAUAACAGUUAGAAAUGACUGCUAAUACCGCAUAAGACCACGGUACCGCAUGGUACAGUGGUAAAAACUCCGGUGGUAUGAGAUGGACCCGCGUCUGAUUAGGUAGUUGGUGGGGUAACGGCCUACCAAGCCGACGAUCAGUAGCCGACCUGAGAGGGUGAUCGGCCACAUUGGGACUGAGAUACGGCCCAG